AGAGAGGAGGGUAAUAAUUUCAUUUAGCUAGCAAAUAAUUUUUCAUUUGAAAAAAUGAAAGGUUCUAGUUUUUCCAAGAUAAACAUGAUAUUUGUAAUAUUAUGCUUCUUCACAAACUUGAGGAUCUGUUUGGGUGAUAUGAAUGGAAUUGGAGAGCAGCCACUUUCAAAGAUUGCCAUUCACAAAACCAUUCUUGCUCUCCACAGUUCUGCCUCCAUUACUGCUUCCCCCUUUUUGCUUGGCAAUAAGGUAUAAACAAAAUUUUAAUAUUUUCUUCCAGUUUGAUUGAUUUAACCUAUUUAUUUGAUUUUCAUUUCUCAACAAAUUUUACUCCAAGAGCGUAUACAUGUUAUACAACCAGAGAAAAAAGAUACUAGUACCGUAAUUCUAGCUAGCAUGAAAAUACAUUUUUUUUUUUUUUAAAAUAAAGCUAGCAUGAAAAUACUUAAAUUCUUUAGGACAAAAUAUUACUGUUUGCAGGUAGUAGGUAAAUCAUGAUAUUAUUGUGUGUGAAAGAGAAAGAGAGACGAGGGAUGACAAUUUCCUGCAGUAAAAAAUACAUGCCGUUACACAUAGUUUUAUAUAUCUUGACCAUUAAUCCGAGAUCAGGCAAAUCAGAUGAUAUAAACAGUGGAUUAAUUAUUAAUGAUCACGACAUUGAUUUUAGAUAUAACUAUAUAGAUUUAUGACGUGUCAUGCAUUUACAACAAAGAAUCCAAAUAUGAGAUAUGGAGCUCAUGAGUGAUGUAACAUGGAGAAUGAUUGAAAGGUAAAGAAAGUACUAAAUUGAUUAAGCUGACAUAUAUGGAAUAAUAUAUUUUCUUCAAUUGGAUAUUUUAAUAUUAUUCCUACUCUUUGCAACACCUUAAACAGGUUUUUUUUUUUAACAAGCUAAAAUGAAAAAUAUUAGAUCACAAAGAGUGAUUCAUCUCACACAAGGUAUACAAAAGAGAACCACCCACCAAAAACAAUGUUAAUAAUCUGGUGCCAUAAAGCAGCACUCCGAAAGAAAGACAAAACAAAACAAAGUUACACUAUAACACCCAUACAAGGUAAAGGGUGUCGCCACCAGUCGUUGUAAUUGAAGGCGAAGGUAGACAAAUUAGCCUUAAGCCAAGAAAAAGACAGAAAUUUAACAGAGUUUACUAAAUGAUCCAAAGUGUCAGUCCUCUGGUUAAAAAUCAUGAGGUUUCUUUCCUUCCAGAUAACCUAGAUAAUAGCCAUCCAAAUUACCUUCAGAAAAGAGUGUGUAGAUUGCGGUAGCCCCGCCAAAUGACCAAACUGAUGAAGAUGCUCGCUAACGGAUGAUGGAGCACUAAAAGAGAUACCUAGCCACUAAUAAAUACGGUGCCAUACUCGACCGAAAUGAUCACAAUGAAAUAGAAGAUGAUAUGCUGUCUCGGAGGAACCGCACCCACCAAUGCAUGAAGUGUCGUCGGGAGGAAUGAUGCGCCUACAAAUAAAGUUGUCUUUAGUUGGGACACGGUUGCGGAGUAGACGCCAAGCAAAAACAUAGACCUUAAGCAGAACUUGCUUCCUCCACAGAUCAUCGAACAUGCCACGCUCCGGAAGGUCAUCUGACGUCGUGAGAUAAGUAUAAGUGCCCUUGACGGAAUAGCCAUGAAUAGGGUCAAGAAUCCACCGCCACCUGUCAAUAAUAUGGUCCUGCAAAACAACAUUAUGCAACAGAGAUGCACACUCAGACACUGUCUCUUCCUCCCAUGCCAAGAGACGCCUCCUCCACGCCCAGGCACCACCACCAUCGGCCCACCCCCUACCCUCCAUCUGCUGCAUCGUCACCCAUUUAUCAACCGCCAAAUCAAAAAGGCGAGGAAAUCGCACCCGUAGAGGCACGCCCCCCACCCAAGUAUCAGACCAAAAAAAUGUGCUACCUCCCCCGCACCUACAACCCGAUUAAAACAAAAAAUAAGAAAAAUGCAAAAUAUUGGAGGGGCAUAUACCUAUAUUUGAAAAUUGAUUCCUUUAAUAUAUUAUUUGGAAAUCCAAAAAUAAAAGUAAUUUAAUUAGGUAAUAUUUUUUUAUUAAUUUUAUCAAUAUACAAAAAGAAAUUUAUUUGAAUUUAGAGAAAAUUGAAUUGAAUUUAUUUUUAAUUAUUAGUAUUUGUAUUUUUGCUUUAAAUAGUUUAAUUAAUUAGCAUAUUUUUAUUUUUAGGUAGUGAUAAUAAAGUAUGUUAGUAAAAUAAACUAAAUUUAGUUUUUGUCCAAAAAUAAUAAUUUAGUUAAUGUAUUACCAAUAUAGAAUUUAAUCUAUAAAUAAACAAAUUAAGUAUUUCUUGAUUUUACUCAUUCAUAGAGACAUGUUCCUCUUUGUUCCAAAAGUGCAGACAAAGUUUGGUGAAAUGUCAAUUUCUGACACAUACAAUAUAUUGUACUCGUGAAUCACUUUAAUUGGUUUGUUGCUAAUCCACAAUUAGACAACCACGUGUUAAUUAUGAUGUACUAUAUUGUUGCAGGGUGAGGAUACAGAAUUGGUGACUGUAGAAGUGGAGUCCCCAGAACCAACUAAUGAAGAUUGGGUUGGAGUUUUUUCUCCUGCAAACUUGAAGUAACAUACAACAACUCUCUGUCUCACUGUUAAUAUUGAUUUUCCUAAUUAGUAUAUACUAAUUAUAUUUUAUAUAUUCCUUAAAAAAAAUACUAUUAUGUAUAAAAGGUUCUAACAACAUGUUCUUUUAUUGUCAAAAAAAAAAAAAGUUCUUUUAACACAUUUUUCCAUAAAAUCAUGCAUAUCAUGACGAUAAAUAAUAUUUUGACAACUAUUUUGGGAUAAUCUAAUAAAAAACCGCAUAUGGAAUAUUAUUUUAGUUUUUUUAAUAUUUUUUAGUUGCAUUGGUUUCCAUAUCAUCUUUUCCUAUUUAAAUCUAAUUGCAGUACGUACGCAGUUAAACAAUUUUGAUAGAAAUGUUAAUGCUGUGUGCAUUUGCUAACAUAAUGUAAUAUUAUUUCAUCUACAAUACAUAUGUGACACACCAGAUUAAUCACGUUCAAAAAUGUAGUUAAUUCAUAUAAGCAUGUUGUUUUUUUUGGGUCAAGCAUAUGAGUAUGUUGUUAAUUCAGUUUAUACUCAAAAUUGUGGCUAAUUCAACUAUAUGAUUAAAAAAAAAAAGUUAACUGAUUUUUAGUUAAACAAUGACACUAAGAGUAAUAAAAUAUAUUUUUCACAAACACAGUUCAUCAAUAUGUACACCUGACCCCGGUGGCAUUGGAUGGGUGGAGACACCAUAUACAUGCUCAGCCCCAAUAAAGGUAAAUGCAACUCCAUCUCAAAUAAAUUGAAAAUGAAUAUGAAAUGGAUGAACAUAUAUCAUGUUUGUUAAUUAUAAUAAUUUGAAUUUUUGUAACAGUAUAAGUAUGCCAACCACUCCAAUCCUAACUAUAAAAAGACUGGGAAAAAUACUUUGAAGUUCCAAUUGAUCAAUCAACGUGCAGAUUUCUCUUUUGCAUUAUUUUCAGGUGGAUUAUCCAAUGUAAGUCAUAUCUUCUGAUCUUGUUAUUUGGUAUCUUCAAUUUUUUUCUUGCUAAAUUUGCAAUGCCAACAGUGUUUUAUUUCUUCUUUGCUUUAGACUUGGCUUUAAUAUUUAAUUUUAUGCUAAUAAGCAUUCAUAUGAUUGAGUAUUGCAGCCUAGACUUGUGUCAAUUUCGAACUUCAUCGCAUUUGCAAAUCCUAAAGCACCUGUGUAUCCGCGUCUUGCGCAUGGAAAAUCUUGGAAUGAAGUAAGUUUAUCUAGUCCAUUUCAUUACACACCACUAGCCUAACAUUUCCUAAUCAUACAUUGGUUCUUAUCAUCUAAAACUUUUCUAAUUGAAAUUGCUGCAUGAAUUGUCUAACUUAUACAUUUAAAAUAAUGUUAAGAAAUUUGUUCAUCAACGACAGAUGACAGUUACCUGGACAAGUGGAUAUGACAUAAGUGAAGCUGUACCGUUUGUGGAAUGGGGUCCAAAGGGAGGAAAGCAGAUACAAUCUGCUGCCGGAACAUUGACAUUUAAUCGUAACAGCAUGUGUGGUAAGGAUUAUUACAUGGUCAAGUUUAUACAAUAAACUUUAAAAUUUAAUCGAACAAUGCUUCAUUAGGUAGCAUAGCAUAGUAACUCUUUCUUUUUCUAAAAAUUAAUAUCAUCAAAUAAUAAGGACAUUUUGUUGAUUUGUAGGUGAACCUGCGCGAACCGUUGGCUGGCGUGAUCCUGGUUUUAUACACACAAGUUUCCUUAAAGAACUUUGGCCAAAUAUGAAGUACGCAUUUAGUCAUUUUCAUGACACAAGUUUUUCCUCUUAACUUUCAAGUUCGACAAAAGUUCUCAAAGCUUAACAGCUUUCCUUGUUCUUUCCCCAGGUACACAUACAGGUUAGGGCAUUUCUUAUCUGAUGGCUCUUAUGUAUGGAGUAAGAGGUAUUCAUUCAAGGCAUCUCCGUAUCCUGGACAGAACUCAUUGCAACGUGUUAUCAUAUUUGGUGACAUGGGAAAGGUAGUACUGAUUAGACGUGUCUAACUUUUGAAUUAGAAACUCUAAUUUUAAGCAUGAGUAGUACGAUGUGAAGAAGGCUUACUUUGCUUCGCGUGUUCUUUAGGCUGAGCGUGAUGGUUCAAAUGAAUAUGCCGAUUACCAACCUGGUUCACUUAACACGACUGACCAGCUCAUCAAUGAUCUAGACAACUUUGACAUUGUUUUCCACAUAGGAGAUAUGCCUUAUGCAAAUGGAUACAUCUCACAGUGGGACCAAUUCACAGCUCAAGUGCAACAAAUUUCAUCAAAAGUUCCAUAUAUGAUAGCAAGGUUCAGUUUGCUUGACAUCAUUUUAAUCCAUAGACAUUUGAAUUGAGUUUUACAUAUUGUUUUAGACUGAAAGGAUGCUACAUUUUUUCAUACUGCAGUGGAAAUCACGAACGUGAUUGGCCAAACUCAGGAUCCUUCUAUGACACUCCAGAUUCAGGUGGAGAAUGUGGAGUUCCUGCAGAAACCAUGUACUAUUACCCUGCUGAGAACAAAGCCAAAUUCUGGUAAGUUAUAUUAAUCUAAAUACAAACCAUGAACCACCAACAUAUGGUUAGCCGAGUGCUAAGGUACUCAAAUUCCUUAAUCAAGUGACCACUGGUUCAAUUCCUAGAUCUUUUAUAUUUAGAAAAUCUAGUUGUGAGGGGAGGACUCAUAUUGUGCGCGAAACAAAUUUUAGGACGGAGACAAGCAUUCUUAAACAAUGGUGGAUACUCCGUACCUAUAACAUGGUUAUAAACAAAAAUACAUACUAUAACAUGUUUAGCUUUAGUCUUUAGUAUAUAAGAUUUUCAUCUCUCAAUUGAAUUUAUUAUCACUUGGUCCAAAUGAAUGAUGAAAAUUGGAAAUAUGCAGGUAUGCAACAGAUUAUGGCAUGUUUCGUUUCUGUAUAGCUGACAGUGAGCAUGAUUGGAGAGAAGGAUCGGAACAAUACAAAUUCAUCGAGCAUUGCCUUGCAACAGUAGAUAGAAAACAACAACCAUGGUUAAUCUUUGCAGCACAUCGUCCACUCGGUUACUCCUCUAAUGAUUGGUAUGCCAAGGAGGGUUCAUUUCAAGAACCCAUGGGAAGGGAGAGUUUGCAGGGACUUUGGCAGAAGUAUAAAGUAGACAUUGGAUUUUAUGGUCAUGUCCAUAACUAUGAAAGAGUCUGCCCCAUUUAUCAGGUAUGAAUACUAUUGCCACUAUAAUAGUUUUUUCCUUCAUUUUAAAUGCACCAGCAUUGCAUUUCUAAUAAUCCAAAUGUGUAUAAUGCAGAACCAAUGUGUGAACAAUGAAAAAACUCAUUACUCUGGCACUGUGAAUGGAACAAUUCAUGUUGUUGUCGGCGGAGGGGGAAGUCACUUGUCGGACUUCACAACAGCACCUCCUAUUUGGAGUAUUUUCAGGGACAGAGACUACGGUUUCGUCAAACUGACAGCAUUCAAUCACUCAUAUCUCUUGUUUGAGUACAAGAAAAGUAGUGAUGGAAAGGUUUAUGACUCUUUUACAAUUUCCAGGGACUAUAGAGAUGUCUUGGCCUGUGUGCACGAUGGUUGUGAGAAAACCACCUUGGCAACAUGAGUUAUGUCUCUGCAUUAGUUCACUGAUGUAGUCUUGAAAUGGAAAGUAUUUCGAAAUAAAUUAAUAAAUAAAUGAAGGCUAUUAUGUUCAAUCUCCAAUUCUCAUGAUCAUUUAGAUAUUUAUACAUAUAAAUCACCAUCAUAACAAAGAAAGCAAUCAAAUCUGUUUCGAACUUUGAUAAUGUACAAGGAAAUUAGGGUAGCAAGAAUUAUAUGUGACCCAGUCAAAUGUAUUCUAACUAGCAAGGCAAGAAUUCUAAGGAAAGUGGGGGUAUAUCAACACACUCUCUAUUUUCAUUAUGAUAAAAAGAUAUAUCAAUUUUAACAUAUACUAUGAUAAAAUACUUUUGGUAAAUAAGAUUAAUAUAAACUCUUUUUAUAAUGUCUAAUAUUCUUCAUAUCGUAGUGGGAUGCUCGUAUUUUAAACCAUUUUAAAUAAAAUAGUUUAACUAAAGGUAAAAUAUGUAAGAAAAAAAUCAGCUCAAACUCACAUACUCCCUCCAUGAUGAAAUAGAAACAAAAAAGGUAGGUGGGAAGUUGAUUUUUGAAUAAGCUAAAUUAGCCCACCUAAAUUGAUAUUGGGGAGAAUCGAACAUUAGACCUCGAGGAGGAGCACACUCCCAUAAGUGAGAAGUUGAUGUAUGUAGACUAAAUUUUUAUACGUUGAUUUUUCAACUAUCCGUUUUGUUGAUAUUUCAUUAUGGAUGAAGUAUUUUAUAUAUAGUAUAAAAGAUAAAUAAUGAGUUGUUUAUGUCAAAAAAAAAUAAUGAUUUGUUCUUUUGUUUGAUCGAGGGACAAUUUUGUCGUGGCAGAUCUUGACCAAAAUUUUAGAGGGUGACAUAUCUUUUUUUUUUUUUUAAAAGACAGCAAGCACAAGGUGUGCCACCCUCUAAACAAACGGUCCAAUUGUGAUGGUGAUGGAGGAGAGUUGUUGGUUGUGGUUGGAGGAGCAAGAAUUGUUGGGGAAGAUAAUGUUAAAAAAUUAAGUGUAGAGAGAACAUGAUAAGAGUGUGUUCUUUAUUUAAUCAAAGGGCUAAGAUCAACUUUUCCAUCAUAGGAAACUACUUCCCUUUUCCAUACUAAACUCCACCAGCUAAGAGGACCGAAAGUUUGUGGGAAAACGUGCUUCCAUCGUUUGGUAUGCAUGUUAUAGAGGAUGGAAAGCCUCAAAUUGAUGGGUCCCGCACCUACAAUCUUUCGGGUUCCACUUGUGUAGCAUUGGCCAUUUUUAUGUUAUAUAACACUGCCCAUUCAGGGUGUGCCACAUGGCACACCCUUUUUUUUUAAAAAAAAUCGAGAAUUAGAAAACAGGUGAGAGUAGAAACCAAUGAAAACUCAAAAAUUUCCUCUUCUCUUCUCCCCUACGACAUCAGAACCCACCACCUACCAUCAACUUUUCUCCGCCGCCGUCCUCCUCUCCGCAUAGCAUUGAAAAGGUCUACUAUAGUAACUUCUUGUUUUCAUUUCAUGUAUUCCAGGUUCAUUUGAAACUAAGAAUCGUCUUUAACUUAAUGUCUUCCCACAUAUCUUGUGUGUUCUCCAAAUUUAGUCAUGAGAGUUCAAGACAAGCUUCAUCAUUUAGAAGACAUUGAUGAAAACUGUAUUCAAAAGGAAUUGGAAACUGAUUGUACCGAGUUUCCUUACCCGGAUUUACUAAUCCAGACAAGUGGAGAACUUAGAGUUGGUAAUUUCUUGUUAUGGAAAUUUGCAUAUUCAGUACUUUUCUUCAACAAAAAACUUUGGCCAAAUUUUGGGAAGGCAUGUUUCAAAAUAGACAGAGAUGCUAUGGUGCUAAUUAAAGAGAAGAGGAACAGUGGUCGAUGACAGAGAGGAGGACGGCGGUGGAGGGAGGUGUCGGCGGUGGCGGAGAAAAGUUGAUGGUAGGUUGUGGGUUCUGAUUGGGCAAUGUUAUAUAAUAUAAAAUGGUCAAUGUUACAUAAGUGGAAUCCCAAUCUUUCCUCCCAUGUUUGCAGAAAACACGAUCUCACCCUCCAAUAUGACAAAUUGACCAAAACACCCUCACUUGUGGAGCAAUUUUUUUUCGCCGUGCAUGUUCUCUUUCUUUUUUUCAAUUAACAUGUUUUUCACUUCAAGGCUUUUAGACAUGUUUUUUUUGUCUUUAUAACUUUUUUCAAAAAAAAUGACGGUCAUUUCUUAAGUAUAUAUAACAUCAAGUGUUAUAACAAAAUACAAAGGCUACCCUAAAAAAAAAACUAAAAACAAAGGUUAUUUAUGUCAUUUCAUAAAUGUAUAUCUUUAUUUCCUUUCACUUUCUUUUCACUUUCAUUCAUAUCAAACAACUAAACAAUCAUCUCACUUUCUAUCCUUAAACAAUAUUUCCUUUCACUUUCUUCCCUGGUUCAAACAAUGCCUUGAAGCUCAUACACACGUCUGAACUAUAAUGCAUACUAGUAUGUAAGAAAAUCACGAAAAAAUUGUGGCCUUGACAUCUCUAUUUGUUUACUCUAUUCCCAACUUCUCUCAACACAAGCAUAGCUUAUAAGAACCAAUAUUGCAAAUAGAAAGAAAAUACUUCUACUUUUUUUUCUUCUUCCAAUUUUAAGGCCACAUGUUUGUGGAAACUGUCCACAAUCUGUACGUAAUAAAGAAUGCUGCACGAGCAACGCGAGUUUUUUUUUUUUUUUUAUGACAAAUAUUUUCUUUUUUUAUUAGCUAGUGAAAACUGAUCCGUAAAACAAAAAAAAAAUUCAAAGCUUUUUCUCUUAAACUUUCUUAUUAGAGAUUUAUCUAAUAUGUCCUACACGUAAUGUGAAUACUUCUCAAAACAUAUAAAAUUCACUAACAUCAAGACAAACAUAUCCUUGUCAAAUGUUACAUUUUUCACUUAUUCAUCUUAAUGCUAAAAUUUCUAACCAAUAAGUUAUUUUAUAAAAAAUAAUAAGAUAAACUAUGGUGUCUAUAUUAUCCAAGAGAUAAAUAAAGACUUUCCAUUUUUCUUUUUUAGUUACUAAUUUUUUUUUCCCAAUGCUAUUUAUCUUGCCCUGGCAAACAAUUACUUUCCCACCCAACCAUGUCUCAUGCUUCACACAUUAUAGUUAUAUAUAAAUUGGUUUAUGGGUGUAAUAAAACAAUUGUUUAAUUUUUUUUGAACAAGCCAACAAUUGUUUAAUUAUAACUUAACAUUGUGUGUAUCGUUAACAAAUAUCUUCGAAACACCUUUUAAACAUUAAAAUUAAGACGACCAAAAUUUCAUGAUGAUUCAAAAUGAAAGCUCAAACAACUAAAGUUUAAAAAUGAAUGGAUUGUUUAAUAUAUGAAUCAUAUAUUAGAAUAUUAUAAAAACUUCUUUUAUAUAAUAUUUGAAUUUUUGAACAUGUAAUGAAUUUUUUAAACAUAAAAAAUUCUAGAUAAAAGUAAUAAAAUUUGAACCAACAAAUCAAAAUUUGAACUCAUACUCUGUGAAAUAACUUUUUAUAAUGUUCAAAAUAUGCAAACAAAAAAUCAUUAAAAAAUAUGUUAUAUAUAUGUUGACUUAACAAUAAGGAUUUAAGCUGAUUGCGGAUAAUUUGUAGGACUAACAAUUGUAGUUUUUUUUGUAUGAUAUAUGAUCAUGUAAGUUUUCUCCCUUAAAAAAGUUCUGUCAUAUUUUUAUUUUAUUUUGAAAACUCGAUAUCCACCCCCAAUGUCCAAUACGUAAAUAUCUUAUAUAUUGUAAAGUUUAUAGAUUUAUAAAGUUUAUCUUUUGGAAAACAUAGAGUAGUUUACUGCCUCAUUUUAAUUAUUCAUUUUUCUCUUGUAUAUUCCAUCUAAUAUAAUAUACUUAUAUAGAUUUUCAAAAAUUGUUACUAUCAACUAUAUUCCAAUGGCGGAUUCAGGAAUACUAGUUAGGAAAAACUACACAUGGGUAAUUUAAUUUAAAGUUUUAAACAUUUCCUUAUAUUUUUCGUUUCAUAUUAAUCAAUCUUUUAUGUUACGAAAUAUUUACAUUGUUGAACCAACACUCAUUCUUUUUUUGAGAGGUAAUUUUUUUUUUUUUUUUAGGAAUUGAGAGGAACAUUAAUUCUUAAUUCGCUUAUGUUUUAUUUUUUUGACAAAUCUUAAUUCACUUAUGUUAGAAUUUAUGCACAUGAUUAUUAUACGAAAAAUGCUAAAUAUCCCGAAUAUUAUCAUCCCGAAAGCAUCGCGAACUAUGUCUUGACCGUACAAUUUCCAAUGCAAAAGUUGCUACUUUUAUAUGCUUAAACGAUGUAUUUAGGGCACUCGUUAACAUUUUCCUUUUCUAUAUAUACAAUUCCCUCCUGUAGUUAUGAAAAUCAAGAACCUCUCAGAGAGGAGGGUAAUAAUUUCAUCUAGCUAGCAAAUAAUUUUUCAUUUGAAAAAAUGAAAGGUUCUAGUUUUUCCAAGAUAAACAUGAUAUUUGUAAUAUUAUGCUUCUUCACAAACUUGAGGAUCUGUUUGGGUGAUAUGAAUGGAAUUGGAGAGCAGCCACUUUCAAAGAUUGCCAUUCACAAAACCAUUCUUGCUCUCCACAGUUCUGCCUCCAUUACUGCUUCCCCCUUUUUGCUUGGCAAUAAGGUAUAAACAAAAUUUUAAUAUUUUCUUCCAGUUUGAUUGAUUUAACCUAUUUAUUUGAUUUUCAUUUCUCA
This 10679-nucleotide long non-coding RNA is filed under the name Medicago truncatula (barrel medic). Its description in RNAcentral is "long non-coding RNA (MTRU_LNC000907)". The record is from RNAcentral. Lineage: Eukaryota; Viridiplantae; Streptophyta; Magnoliopsida; Fabales; Fabaceae.